UACGUAGGGUGCAAGCGUUGUCCGGAAUUACUGGGCGUAAAGAGUUCGUAGGCGGUUUGUCGCGUCGUUUGUGAAAACCAGCAGCUCAACUGCUGGCUUGCAGGCGAUACGGGCAGACUUGAGUACUGCAGGGGAGACUGGAAUUCCUGGUGUAGCGGUGAAAUGCGCAGAUAUCAGGAGGAACACCGGUGGCGAAGGCGGGUCUCUGGGCAGUAACUGACGCUGAGGAACGAAGGCGUGGGUAGCGAACAGG
RNAcentral lists this ribosomal RNA (253 nucleotides) under uncultured bacterium. RNAcentral's name for it is "partial 16S ribosomal RNA". It matches the Rfam family "Bacterial small subunit ribosomal RNA", at positions 524 to 776 of the family's 1533-position model. The record is from RNAcentral.